AUGAACGCUGGCGGCGUGCUUAACACAUGCAAGUCGAACGAAGCACUUUAUUUGAUUUCCUUCGGGACUGAUUAUUUUGUGACUGAGUGGCGGACGGGUGAGUAACGCGUGGGUAACCUGCCUUGUACAGGGGGAUAACAGUUGGAAACGGCUGCUAAUACCGCAUAAGCGCACAGCAUCGCAUGAUGCAGUGUGAAAAACUCCGGUGGUAUAAGAUGGACCCGCGUUGGAUUAGCUAGUUGGUGAGGUAACGGCCCACCAAGGCGACGAUCCAUAGCCGACCUGAGAGGGUGACCGGCCACAUUGGGACUGAGACACGGCCCAAACUCCUACGGGAGGCAGCAGUGGGGAAUAUUGCACAAUGUGCGAAAGCCUGAUGCAGCGACGCCGCGUGAGCGAAGAAGUAUUUCGGUAUGUAAAGCUCUAUCAGCAGGGAAGAUAAUGACGGUACCUGACUAAGAAGCACCGGCUAAAUACGUG
This 480-nucleotide ribosomal RNA is filed under the name uncultured bacterium. Its description in RNAcentral is "partial 16S ribosomal RNA". It matches the Rfam family "Bacterial small subunit ribosomal RNA", at positions 29 to 507 of the family's 1533-position model. The record is from RNAcentral.